This 136-nucleotide microRNA precursor is filed under the name Gossypium hirsutum (cotton). RNAcentral's name for it is "MIR7502 microRNA precursor family". It matches the Rfam family "MIR7502 microRNA precursor family". Lineage: Eukaryota; Viridiplantae; Streptophyta; Magnoliopsida; Malvales; Malvaceae. The record is from Rfam by way of RNAcentral.
AAUUAAAACUUUCAUCUAUUUUUUUGUUAAAAACUAACAUGUUUGAUUAAAUAACCAAACAGUUACACAUAGCGUGCCACGUAUACCUCAUCGUACAUGGACCAAAUUUUAAUAGAAAUGAAUGAAAUUUUAAAUA